CAGCCGCCGCGGUAACACGAAGGGUGCAAGCGUUAAUCGGAAUUACUGGGCGUAAAGCGUGCGUAGGCGGUUUGUUAAGUCUGUUGUGAAAUCCCCGGGCUCAACCUGGGAAUGGCGAUGGAUACUGGCAAGCUAGAGUGUGUCAGAGGGGGGUGGAAUUCCGCGUGUAGCAGUGAAAUGCGUAGAUAUGCGGAGGAACACCGAUGGCGAAGGCAGCCCCCUGGGCCAACACUGACGCUCAUGCACGAAAGCGUGGGGAGCAAACAGGAUUAGAUACCCCUGUAGUCCCUGUCUCUUAUAA
Molecule: ribosomal RNA, 301 nt
Filed under: uncultured bacterium
Lineage: Bacteria
Description: partial 16S ribosomal RNA
Rfam family: Bacterial small subunit ribosomal RNA
Source: RNAcentral